CACGUAAGCGGGUUGCUAAGUCAGGGGUGAAAUCCUGGAGCUCAACUCCAGAACUGCCCUUGAUACUGGCGGCCUUGAGUCCGGGAGAGGUGAGUGGGAACUGCGAGUGUAGAGGUGAAAUUCGUAGAUAUUCGCAAGAACACCAGUGGCGAAGGCGGCUCACUGGCCCGGUACUGACGCUGAGGUGCGAAAGCGUGGGGAGCAAACGAGGAUUAGAUACCCUGGUAGUCCACGCCGUAAACGAUGGAUGCUAGCCGUUGGUGGGUUUACCCUUCAGUGGCGCAGCUAACGCAUUAAGCAUCCCGCCUGGGGAGUACGGUCGCAAGAUUAAA
This 332-nucleotide ribosomal RNA is filed under the name uncultured bacterium. RNAcentral describes it as "bacterial SSU rRNA". It matches the Rfam family "Bacterial small subunit ribosomal RNA", at positions 568 to 898 of the family's 1533-position model. The record is from RNAcentral.